Molecule: long non-coding RNA, 231 nt
Organism: Notothenia coriiceps (black rockcod)
Lineage: Eukaryota; Metazoa; Chordata; Actinopteri; Perciformes; Nototheniidae
Exons: 3
Source: RefSeq, a predicted model, not a curated record
CAGUAACCAUGCGACCGGCAGGAAGAAGCCUCUGUACCCCGUCAUCUUCAAGGCAGACACCAGGUUUUCUGAGGCGUUGAGGUGUGUGUCCUGCACCUUCACCACCUGCAGAGGAGACCUGAUGGCCAAUCACCUGACAGAGAGACCAGAACACACCUGCAUCAUGCACACACACCACGGGCCGAAGAGUGUAAACGGAUCUGAAACACAACCAAUACACAACCCUCACAG